Pelobates cultripes (western spadefoot toad) is the source of this 236-nucleotide non-coding RNA. The record is from the annotation of a GenBank genome assembly. Lineage: Eukaryota; Metazoa; Chordata; Amphibia; Anura; Pelobatidae.
CCUUAAUGCCGGAGACAAAAUUUCUCUCAAAAUAUUUUGGAUUUUACCAUUGCAUACAAUGUAACCAACUGAUACCAUUCUCAGUGUUAACAAAUUAGAAAAGCAUGUCAUUUUUUGUCAUGCACGUAGAGACUUGUGGGAAAAUCCUGAUGACCUCUUUUUCUGACACAGCAGGUUUAUCAUUCCAAUGAAGUAGAUAUCUAUUUAACUUGUUUGACUGCAAGACUUCUUUUGAC